This is a long non-coding RNA of Belonocnema kinseyi, 735 nucleotides long. RefSeq lists it as uncharacterized. The record is from RefSeq and is a predicted model, not a curated record. Lineage: Eukaryota; Metazoa; Arthropoda; Insecta; Hymenoptera; Cynipidae. The transcript is spliced from 4 exons.
CUUGUUUGGAAAGUACAAAUCAAAACAAAAAAAUCACAUCGUGACAAGGAAUAUUCGUUUUUUGGGCUACCAAAUGAUCCGGAAAUUUAAAACAAAUGCCCACUCCCGAACUGAAGUGUUCAUGAAUUUAAGAAUGUUAUCUAUUAUGGAAGAAACGGAUCUGCAAGUUGAAAAACUAAAAGUAAAACUGAUCCGAAAUUGGCGUAUACUCUGCUACUGAUUGCGUUCGCUUUUGCAAUUGCUGAGAAUGUUUAUCGCGCAAAGUGGACCCGAUUUUCUGUGGGAGUCAAUGGAGAGUUGAAAAUGAGUUCUAGGAUCUGCUCUGAUCAUCUUGACAAAAAGUGCAUUUUAAAGACAUAUCCGAGAGUGCUGAUGCUUGAAAAUUCGAUUCCAACAAUCCUAGAAAGCAAAAGAAGUGCCGCAGAGCCUGCAGAAGUACUGCUUCAUUCAUGCGAACGUUUCUGUGAGUGAGAUGUUACUGGGAGGCACGAUUUAAAAGUCUUGACAAAGACAAGAUAAAAAUGAAGAGAUUUACAGUCAAAAGGAAUUAGAAUUGCUCGUAUAAGGCGAAAAAGCUAGAAUUAAUAGAAUUAAUUUAUAGGAUUAAUUUAUUGAACAAGUAUUACGUUGUUUAUAAAAUAUAUGCGCAAAACUUCAUUAUAAUUAUUACUGUUAAGCAAUCUGUAUUGUGCAAAUCAAAGAAUUCAUUUUGUGCAAUAAACAAGUCAUGCGAUA